This 73-nucleotide transfer RNA is filed under the name Actinomycetota bacterium. RNAcentral's name for it is "tRNA-Lys". It matches the Rfam family "tRNA". From Rfam's summary of the family: Transfer RNA (tRNA) molecules are approximately 80 nucleotides in length. Their secondary structure includes four short double-helical elements and three loops (D, anti-codon, and T loops). Lineage: Bacteria; Bacillati; Actinomycetota. The record is from RNAcentral.
GGGUCGCUAGCUCAAUUGGCAGAGCAGCAGCCUCUUAAGCUGACGGUUGAGAGUUCGAGUCUCUCGCGACCCA